RNAcentral lists this ribosomal RNA (253 nucleotides) under uncultured bacterium. RNAcentral describes it as "partial 16S ribosomal RNA". It matches the Rfam family "Bacterial small subunit ribosomal RNA", at positions 524 to 776 of the family's 1533-position model. The record is from RNAcentral.
UACAGAGGGGGCAAGCGUUGUUCGGAAUUACUGGGCGUAAAGGGCGCGUAGGCGGUCCGCUAAGUUCGGCGUGAAAUCCCCUGGCUCAACUGGGGAACUGCGCUGGAUACUGGUGGACUCGAGUACCGGAGAGGAGAGUGGAAUUCCUGGUGUAGCGGUGAAAUGCGUAGAUAUCAGGAGGAACACCGGUGGCGAAGGCGGCUCUCUGGACGGAUACUGACGCUGAGGCGCGAAAGCGUGGGGAUCAAACAGG